UGAGCGGAUCGAGGGAGGUUCUCGCUGUCGAGAUCAACGUCGGCUUUCAUGGACUUGCACUCCUUCACCAAGCUAAUGAAUUUUCUCCAUUGUUCAACUCAUAGAUUCGUAUUCACUUUCUUCUUCACUCUGCAUUUACCACUAAACUCGGUUCAUUCUCAAUCGAUUCAUUGAAGCUUAAAACAGAUUAGUCGUUGCAAAAAUGAUGUCUCCGAAGCCACUUUCAGAAAAUCGAGGUUCAUCUCAUUCUGCUACCAUGAGGCAAACCCCCUUGCAGAUAAUCCAUGUUGUUGGGAACUUUAUGAGAAUAUGGUCAGUUUACUCCAUGUACCGCUAUUUGUCUCAGACAGGGGCUUCAGUUGUUCUAUUUAUGUUCUGCUGUCUUCUUCCAUCAUGCAUCUGGUUUCUAGUAGCGCAAAAGCCUUGGAAGGGCAGGGCACUUGCUAAUACACAGGUGGUACCUUCAGUUGUAAAUGGUGGUAUAACAGCUCUUUACUUCAUCUUGUGGGGAAAGGGCCUAAAAUCUUGUGGUCCCGUUCGGGCCAUAUUGGGUGAGUAUUCUGGUGCUGUUCUAGGAGUAUUAUCCGGGGUACUGUAUGGCAGGGGGGGCCAUGUUUGGAAAAAGGUUGGUGGACUCCUAGCGAUGCUUGCAUCCUUCUACUUUUUAUCACAAGGAUGGGCAAUGGCUACAUAUUCUCCAUUUCCAUUUAGCAAUGCCUCCUCUGAUGAUGAAGCACAUACUGAACAGCUAGUAGGAAUGAAGGAAAUGUUAUUUCCCAUUCUUGCUGGAAUCUUAUCAGCACUUCGGAGGGUGAUCGCAAGAAGGGUCUCACUUAAGAACCAACUGAAGAGGCGACUCCAUGCCAUAACCCUUACUUCUGCGACAUGCUUUUUGUUUCCUGUUGCCAUGUGGGACAUGAUUAUAGGAUCUAACAAUGUAGAGCUGCCCUUUUCUGCCUGGGCUUUUUCAAGCACCAUUUUAUUUGGGAUGAUAUUGAUUUUUUACAUUGAUAGCAUCGCAGAAGAGAGGUUGCAUAUGGUUUUCUCUUCUCCAAGGCACUUAUUGGUUGCGGCAGGAUGCAUCAUUGUCAUGGAGAUAGUAUAUAAAAUGGACUUCUCGUUACUCGGCUUUCUUGUUUGUGCUGCCAUCUUGGGAAUCGGCAUAUAUGAAGCUACAUCAUUGGAUCGUUCUAGGAGAGAUUCUUUCCAAGGCUCAAGCUCCAAUGGCAUCUUGGACGAUCAAGUUGAAAUGUCUCCACUUCCUACUUGAUCUACAUAGUUAGUAUGAUGUUCUGGUGGCAUCUAGCUUUGCUUCUUUGAGCAUUUACAGUGCGAUAGCUAUCAUACUUUUGACUCUUAACAGUGAUGCAAAUGAGGAGAAACAUGUUUUCCGGAUACUCCUUAUUGUGUCGUGGUAAUUGGCCUGAAACUAUUUAUAAUAUCAGUACUUCCCAGUUAUGCCCAAAUAUCAAGUGCCUGGAAUCAUGGAGAGCACAUCAAAGAAUAUACAUAACAAGAAGAGAAGUUCUGUGCCAUUCCCCUAGCUGGUUGCCAUGUUGCAUCAACAUUGAAUUUGUGUUAUGAUUUGAUUUAUAUGACCAACAUGGUUAGUGAAAUAUUUGUACAAACAGUAUAUAUACCUUCCCAUAUUUUAUGGACCGUUUCUUUUCUUCUCUA
Molecule: non-coding RNA, 1677 nt
Organism: Solanum lycopersicum (tomato)
Lineage: Eukaryota; Viridiplantae; Streptophyta; Magnoliopsida; Solanales; Solanaceae
Source: RefSeq, a predicted model, not a curated record